UACGUAGGGUGCGAGCGUUGUCCGGAAUUAUUGGGCGUAAAGGGUGCGUAGGCGGCGGAGUAAGUUGGGUGUGAAAUCCCGGGGCUUAACCUCGGAAUUGCAUUCAAUACUGCUUCGCUUGAGUACUGGAGAGGAGGCUGGAAUUUACGGUGUAGCAGUGAAAUGCGUAGAUAUCGUAAGGAAGGCCGGUGGCGAAAGCGAGCCUCUGGACAGUUACUGACGCUGAUGCACGAAGGCCAGGGGAGCAAACGGG
This 253-nucleotide ribosomal RNA is filed under the name uncultured bacterium. Its description in RNAcentral is "partial 16S ribosomal RNA". It matches the Rfam family "Bacterial small subunit ribosomal RNA", at positions 524 to 776 of the family's 1533-position model. The record is from RNAcentral.